CCUACGGGAGGCAGCAGUGGGGAAUUUUGGACAAUGGGCGCAAGCCUGAUCCAGCCAUGCCGCGUGUGGGAAGAAGGCCUUCGGGUUGUAAACCACUUUUGUCAGGGAAGAAACGGCUUUUUCUAAUACAGAGAGCUAAUGACGGUACCUGAAGAAUAAGCACCGGCUAACUACGUGCCAGCAGCCGCGGUAAUACGUAGGGUGCAAGCGUUAAUCGGAAUUACUGGGCGUAAAGCGUGCGCAGGCGGCUUUGCAAGACAGAUGUGAAAUCCCCGGGCUCAACCUGGGAACUGCAUUUGUGACUGCAUGGCUAGAGUACGGUAGAGGGGGAUGGAAUUCCGCGUGUAGCAGUGAAAUGCGUAGAUAUGCGGAGGAACACCGAUGGCGAAGGCAAUCCCCUGGACCUGUACUGACGCUCAUGCACGAAAGCGUGGGGAGCAAACAGGAUUAGAUACCCUGGUAGUCCACGCCCUAAACGAUGUCAACUGGUUGUUGGACGGCUUGCUGUUCAGUAACGAAGCUAACGCGUGAAGUUGACCGCCUGGGGAGUACGGCCGCAAGGUUGAAACGUUAAAGGAAUUGACGG
Molecule: ribosomal RNA, 586 nt
Filed under: uncultured bacterium
Lineage: Bacteria
Description: bacterial SSU rRNA
Rfam family: Bacterial small subunit ribosomal RNA
Source: RNAcentral